GAUGAACGCUGACAGAAUGCUUAACACAUGCAAGUCGAUGGGGAAGUGGUGCUUGCACCAUGGUAACCAUGGCGGACGGGUGAGUAACGCGUAAGGAACUUGCCUGCGGGACUGGGAUAGCAGCAGGAAACUGCUGAUAAUACCGGAUAAGGUCAUUAAGCUGCAUAGCUUAGUGAUGAAAGGAGACGCCUGCGGAGAGCCUUGCGUCCUAUUAGCUAGUUGGAGGGGUAACGGCCCACCAAGGCGAAGAUAGGUAGCCGGCCUGAGAGGGUGGACGGCCACAAGGGGACUGAGAUACGGCCCUUACUCCUACGGGAGGCAGCAGUGGGGAAUAUUGGACAAUGGGGGCAACCCUGAUCCAGCAAUUCUGUGUGCACGAAGACGGUUUUCGGAUUGUAAAGUGCUUUCAGCAGGGAAGAAGUAAGUGACGGUACCUGCAGAAGAAGCGACGGCUAAAUACGUGCCAGCAGCCGCGGUAAUACGUAUGUCGCGAGCGUUAUCCGGAAUUAUUGGGCAUAAAGGGCAUCUAGGCGGCCUUUCAAGUCAGGGGUGAAAACCUGCGGCUCAACCGCAGGCCUGCCUUUGAAACUGAUAGGCUGGAGUACCGGAGAGGUGGACGGAACUGCACGAGUAGAGGUGAAAUUCGUAGAUAUGUGCAGGAAUGCCGAUGAUGAAGAUAGUUCACUGGACGGUAACUGACGCUGAAGUGCGAAAGCCGGGGGAGCAAACAGG
RNAcentral lists this ribosomal RNA (732 nucleotides) under uncultured Leptotrichia sp. RNAcentral's name for it is "bacterial SSU rRNA". It matches the Rfam family "Bacterial small subunit ribosomal RNA", at positions 28 to 776 of the family's 1533-position model. Lineage: Bacteria; Fusobacteriati; Fusobacteriota; Fusobacteriia; Fusobacteriales; Leptotrichiaceae. The record is from RNAcentral.